This 604-nucleotide long non-coding RNA is filed under the name Pan troglodytes (chimpanzee). Its description in RNAcentral is "long non-coding RNA NONPTRT003349". The record is from RNAcentral. Lineage: Eukaryota; Metazoa; Chordata; Mammalia; Primates; Hominidae.
UGCCAAUUCUGUUUUAUAAUGCUUCUCUCAUUUCUAGGGUGUGAAGAGGAUACUGACCCACCAGAAAGAGACCCCACUGCUAGAACGAAUAAGAUGUGCUGAAAGCCGGAGCAUAACUUGGCCAUUCCAAGAUUUAACGACAAACUAACUACCCAUCAUUAACACUAAAGAAAGAAAACAAUCAGUAAGAGAUUAUAUAGACCUAAGAGAUGUUACAGACCGAAGAAGAACCUAUGGAGGAAGACAGGAAGGUGAGAGAGAUUUGAAGAUGGUAUGUGGCUGAAUUUGAAGAUAGAGAAAGGAACCGCAAGCAAAGAAUGCAAGAGGUCUCUAGAAGCUGGAAAAGGCAAGGAAAGAGUCUCCCCUCAAGCUCCAGCAGGAAUGCAGUCCUGACACCUUGAGUUUAGCCUAGUGAGACUUCUGACCUCCAGAACUAGAAGAUACAAGUGGUGUUUUAAGGCACUAAAACGAAGAACUAGAAGUGUUGUUUUAAGCCCAUAAAUUUGUGAUAAUCUGUUACAGUAGUAAUAGGCAAUGCAUACGCAAGCACACAAAGUAAAAUUUUUCUGUGGUUAUUUUCCAUAUUUUUUCAGUUAUUUUCUGC